Molecule: unclassified non-coding RNA, 242 nt
Filed under: uncultured Tricholoma
Lineage: Eukaryota; Fungi; Basidiomycota; Agaricomycetes; Agaricales; Tricholomataceae
Description: sequence contains ITS1
Source: RNAcentral
UUGAAUAAGCUUGGUUGGGUUGUUGCUGGCUCUUUUGGAGCAUGUGCACGCCUGACGACCAACUUUAUUACCACCUGUGCACCCUUUGUAGACUUGGAUACCUCUCGAGGAAACUCGGACUUUGAGGAUUGCUGUGCGCAAGCCGGCUUUCCUUUGCAUUUCCGGUCUAUGUUUUUAUAUAUACACACCAAGUAUGUUACAGAAUGUUAUUAAACAGGACUUAAUUGCCUUUAAACUUUAUA